This 404-nucleotide transfer-messenger RNA is filed under the name Oryzomonas sp. It matches the Rfam family "transfer-messenger RNA". From Rfam's summary of the family: Bacterial tmRNA, also known as 10Sa RNA or SsrA, is named for its dual tRNA and mRNA-like properties. Its role is to liberate the mRNA from a stalled ribosome. The record is from RNAcentral. Lineage: Bacteria; Pseudomonadati; Thermodesulfobacteriota; Desulfuromonadia; Geobacterales; Geobacteraceae.
GGGGGUGUAAAGGUUUCGACAGGCGAAGAUAAAUACUGAUUGCGCUGGGAGGAUGGUGGUUGGCCUCUAGAAUAAUCCACUACACAAUAAAUGCAAACAAUACAACUGCUGCAGACAAUUACGCCUUUGCGGGUGCAAUUGCUGCUUAGUACCAGCCUUGGAUUCUUCGGAAUCUAAGCGAGCUAGAGGGUAGACUUAAUCUCCUGUGUAACCCUUCGGCUGUCAAAAAGAAGUAACUGUAAUGGAGCGGCGAGGAUGGUCCGAUAAUCGUCGUAUUUAGGAAUCGAUUCUUGGUGCCGUGAGUGAUGGCUUACCUCGAAUUUAAACCCAUAAUCAAUCUAUCAGCGUAGAGGUUAGUAUUGAAGAGCGUUUGGACCAGGGUUCGACUCCCUGCACCUCCACCA